Molecule: long non-coding RNA, 485 nt
Organism: Anopheles arabiensis
Lineage: Eukaryota; Metazoa; Arthropoda; Insecta; Diptera; Culicidae
Exons: 2
Source: RefSeq, a predicted model, not a curated record
CACUACGAGCAUAUCGUCGAGGACUAUCUGGACGAUAUCGAGAAGGGUACGGUGUAUGCGGAUAACUUUCGGCAGCUGCUCAAGAUGCGUUCGCGGGCCUGCCGAAGGUUGCGCCGCUACCUGCUCUACUUUUACUAUCAUCCGGACCACGGACAAAGUGAUAGCACGAGACACUAUCGCUAGUGGCUGGUCGUAGGGUUUAGCUAUUACACGUCCCCUUUUCCAAACUAUAACGCCCAUGGAUACUGUCCUCUGCCCAGACUUCCAUCAAAAGAUUAACCAAGGAUCUAUGUGUUAUGUGGCUUGUAAGUUAGAAUAGUACAUUAGUGCCUAUAGUACCUAUGCUUUGAUGGCUGUUUACUAGUGAAGUCAAAAUUGUCGCCAUGAUUUAUUACCCCUACUCCUCAUUUCUAUGUUUGUGUCGCAUAGAAGCAAUAUUUUAUGUUAAUAAACCCCAUUUUCAAAAUUUAUCUUUCACACCCCAA